GGACCAAAGUUCAGCAGUAGAGCAUCUGCUUUGCAUGCUGAAGGUCCCAGAUUCAAUCCCUGGCAUCUCCA
Podarcis lilfordi (Lilford's wall lizard) is the source of this 71-nucleotide non-coding RNA. The record is from the annotation of a GenBank genome assembly. Lineage: Eukaryota; Metazoa; Chordata; Lepidosauria; Squamata; Lacertidae.